RNAcentral lists this ribosomal RNA (419 nucleotides) under bacterium. RNAcentral describes it as "partial 16S ribosomal RNA". It matches the Rfam family "Bacterial small subunit ribosomal RNA", at positions 355 to 776 of the family's 1533-position model. The record is from RNAcentral.
UGGGGGAUAUUGCACAAUGGGCGAAAGCCUGAUGCAGCGACGCCGCGUGGGGGAUGAAGGCCUUCGGGUUGUAAACUUCUUUUGCUCUGAACAAGGCGCACCAUGGGGUGUGUUGAGUGUAGGGGUUGAUUAGCGCCGGCUAACUACGUGCCAGCAGCCGCGGUAAUACGUAGGGCGCGAGCGUUGUCCGGAAUUAUUGGGCGUAAAGGGCUUGUAGGUGGCUGGUUGCGUCUGUCGUGAAAGCUCAUGGCUUAACUGUGGGUUUGCGGUGGGUACGGGCUGGCUUGAGUGCAGUAGGGGAGGCUGCAAUUCCUGGUGUAGCGGUGGAAUGCGCAGAUAUCAGGAGGAAUACCGGUGGCGAAGGCGGGUCUCUGGGCUGUUACUGACACUGAGGAGCGAAAGCAUGGGGAGCGAACAGG